UACGUAGGUGACAAGCGUUAUCCGGAUUUAUUGGGCGUAAAGCGCACGCAGGCGGCUGAUUAAGUCUGACGUGAAAUCUCUCGGCUUAACCGGGAGCGGUCGUUGGAAACUAAUUGGCUUGAGGCGAUGAGAGGGGUGUGGAAUUCCCGGUGUAGUGGUGGAAUGCGUAGAUAUCGGGGGGAACGCCCGCGGCGAAAGCGAGCGCCUGGACCCUUUCUGACGCUGAGACGCGAAAGCCAGGGGAGCGAACGGG
This 253-nucleotide ribosomal RNA is filed under the name uncultured bacterium. Its description in RNAcentral is "partial 16S ribosomal RNA". It matches the Rfam family "Bacterial small subunit ribosomal RNA", at positions 524 to 776 of the family's 1533-position model. The record is from RNAcentral.